This 513-nucleotide ribosomal RNA is filed under the name uncultured bacterium. RNAcentral describes it as "partial 16S ribosomal RNA". It matches the Rfam family "Bacterial small subunit ribosomal RNA", at positions 28 to 523 of the family's 1533-position model. The record is from RNAcentral.
GAUGAACGCUGGCGGCGUGCCUAAUACAUGCAAGUCGAGCGAACAGACGAGGAGCUUGCUCCUCUGACGUUAGCGGCGGACGGGUGAGUAACACGUGGAUAACCUACCUAUAAGACUGGGAUAACUUCGGGAAACCGGAGCUAAUACCGGAUAAUAUAUUGAACCGCAUGGUUCAAUAGUGAAAGACGGUUUUGCUGUCACUUAUCGAUGGAUCCGCGCCGCAUUAGCUAGUUGGUAAGGUAACGGCUUACCAAGGCAACGAGGCGUAGCCGACCUGAGAGGGUGAUCGGCCACACUGGAACUGAGACACGGUCCAGACUCCUACGGGAGGCAGCAGUAGGGAAUCUUCCGCAAUGGGCGAAAGCCUGACGGAGCAACGCCGCGUGAGUGAUGAAGGUCUUCGGAUCGUAAAACUCUGUUAUUAGGGAAGAACAAAUGUGUAAGUAACUAUGCACGUCUUGACGGUACCUAAUCAGAAAGCCACGGCUAACUACGUGCCAGCAGCCGCGGUAA